UUAAAAACAGUGAAGAAGGAAAGUAACUUUUAUGAGGUUUACAGAGAGAAAAGGCAGUUGAGAACUUUUCAUCCAUAUUAAUUGUGAAGUGCCCUUUGGAGUUGAGGUCUGAAAUAGUAGUAAGAUUUUCCGGGUUCACCCGUUAUAGUGAUAAGGUAUGUGCACGUACCUGAUAAAAGAGUGGGAUUUUUAAAAUCCAAUUAGAGUGGAACCGCGAAUUUUACUUCGUCUCUAUA
This 236-nucleotide non-coding RNA is filed under the name Clostridium paraputrificum. RNAcentral describes it as "T-box sequence". It matches the Rfam family "T-box leader". Rfam says of the family: Uncharged tRNA acts as the effector for transcription antitermination of genes in the T-box leader family. The record is from RNAcentral. Lineage: Bacteria; Bacillati; Bacillota; Clostridia; Eubacteriales; Clostridiaceae.